ACAUGUAACGGUGAUCUGGCUGCGGCACGUGUCACCGUGCUGAUCACAGGGCUGAUUCUACUGAUCUGGCUGGUUAGGCAGGUGUUUCUUCCUCUACUGCUGUUCUGUGUGUGUGCCUCUGAAGCUGAGCACUCUGUUGAAGAAGACAACCUUUCCUGAAAGAGAAGGACUGUUCUGUCCAGGGUGUAUGCUAGAACCUCCAAAUAAGCUCCUCAAAAUUCCUCGCCUAUGUUGUAUGGCUUUGCUGAUUACA
Felis catus (domestic cat) is the source of this 253-nucleotide non-coding RNA. The record is from Rfam. NCBI's taxonomy places the organism in Eukaryota, Metazoa, Chordata, Mammalia, Carnivora, Felidae.